RNAcentral lists this ribosomal RNA (509 nucleotides) under uncultured bacterium. Its description in RNAcentral is "bacterial SSU rRNA". It matches the Rfam family "Bacterial small subunit ribosomal RNA", at positions 18 to 518 of the family's 1533-position model. The record is from RNAcentral.
UAUGGCUCAGAUGAACGCUGGCGGCAGGCCUAACACAUGCAAGUCGAACGGUAACAGGAAGAAGCUUGCUCUUGCUGACGAGUGGCGGACGGGUGAGUAAUGUCUGGGAAACUGCCUGAUGGAGGGGGAUAACUACUGGAAACGGUAGCUAAUACCGCAUAACGUCGCAAGACCAAAGAGGGGGACCUUCGGGCCUCUUGCCAUCGGAUGUGCCCAGAUGGGAUUAGCUUGUUGGUGGGGUAACGGCUCACCAAGGCGACGAUGGGUAGCCGGCCUGAGAGGGUGGACGGCCACAUUGGAACUGAGACACGGUCCAGACUCCUACGGGAGGCAGCAGCUAAGAAUCUUCCGCAAUGGGCGAAAGCCUGACGGAGCCGACGCCGCGUGAACGAAGAAGGCCGUGAGGUUGUAAAGUUCUUUUCGGGAGGGGGAACAACCGUGGCAGGGAAUGGCCGCGGGAUGACGUGAAUCCCGGAAUAAGCCCCGGCUAACUACGUGCCAGCCGCGGC